Molecule: transfer RNA, 63 nt
Filed under: Scipinia horrida
Lineage: Eukaryota; Metazoa; Arthropoda; Insecta; Hemiptera; Reduviidae
Description: tRNA-Arg
Source: RNAcentral
AAGUAGUGAAGUAAAAGUUACAUUUAGUUUCGACCUAAAAUUAGAGAUAAAACUCCUUACUUA